GAAGAGACAAAAAACAGGCUUUAACAGAUGUGCAUGCAUACACAAUACUCUGUCCUUGGAGCCUGUUCUUUUCACUUAAUAGUUUGCGCAAGAGAUCAUCCCAGAGUGUAGAGAGAUGCCUUGUUCUCUUUUUAACACCCUAGUGUUCACUGAGUGGGUAUAUUAUCAUGGAACUCAUUGUCCUCUAAUGAGUAUUUCGCUUGUUUCCAAUCUCCCACUAUUACAAAGAAAAAAAAAAAGCUACAGUAAAUAUCCUUGUGCUGAUAUCAACUUGUACAUAUCCAAAAGUCCUUGUAGGAUAAGUUCUUAGGAGGGAGCUUUCAGGCCAAAAGGCAUGUGCAUUUUAAAAUAUUUGAUAGUGGCUGUACCAGUUUACACUCCCACCAGUACUGUAUGAUAGUGUUUGUCUCCCACACCCACGCCAACACAGUAUUAGUGAGGGUUUGGAUCAUUGCCAAUCUGAUACGUGAAAAAUAGCAUUGGGCUGUAGUUUCAAUGUGCAUUUCUAUUUUGAAUGAGAUUAAACAUCUUUUCAUAAGCUUAAGAGUCAUUUGUGUUUCCUGUUCUGUGGACUAUCUGUUCAUAUUCUUGCUCAUUUUCCUAUCACAGUUUUAUUUGUCUUAUUGAUUUACAGGAACUCUUUACAUAUUCAGGAAAUUUGAGUCUUGAGCAACAUGGCUCAAGGAUGGAAGCAGAAGUGCAUUCAUUCUAAAGGCUGUCCAUGAAUUCUGUUCCAUAAAUCUCAUAGCCAGACUAAUACUUUCCAAUGCCUGGUUCUUCACUUAUUUUUUUGCUUCUAUAAGCUGACUUAUAUCCUCCCAAUACAUUCCUUGCUUUUUUGUUUGGGCUUAACUUACCAGAGUGGAUUUCAGUGAUUUAAGGAAAUUUGAUGUAUAUGCCCUCUCCAUCAGGUCAAGGUUUCAGGGGGAAGAGUGUCAGUUGGAAUCUCCCUUCUCCACCCAGGACUCUCUGCCUUCAAUGCAGCAUGUCUCACUGUAGGUCCAAGGCAGCUGGGGACCCUACCGUGCAUUUGCAGGCUCUUCUUCCCUGUCCUUAUGUCUAGGCCAUGGGUCCUGCGUCCUUCACUCAGAAGGUGAUGGCACUGAUUGAUCUAAAGAGAGUUUGCCUGUACUUCUGGCUCUGGGAAUACAAACAGCAGAUCUCCCUUGACAAUUAUGUCUGGAGACCGGCACUUCCAUGGGCAAAGACAUGGUGCAGAGCAGACGGUUGCCAGGUUGUGCUCUGAGUUAGGGGCACCCACGGGCCUGCAACUCUCGUUCCAGAUCACUGUGGAGUGUUUGUUCAUUCCUUCAGCAAACAUUCCUGAAUGGCUGGGUACUAAGCACACAGACAGGGCCACUCAACCAGUGAACACCUAACCUCAUCUGAAAUACAGGGGACAAGGAGGCCACGGGGAGAGGGUCCCAGUGCAAAGGGGUGUUGGUCAGGAGACUGUUCCCUGAGCCAGACCAGGGAAGAACAGAAACAACAGGACAAAGUGGAUGCUAGGCAAUGGGAAUGGCAUGCAAAGGGCCUUGAAGCUAGAGGUACAGGGAAGUGCUGGAAGCCAGCCGGACCUGAGUUGAGUGCGGGCGUAGAGUCAGGCUGCGUGAGGCUGAACGUAGGUAGGAUCCAACUCUCAUUCAGCUUAGGCCGUGGCUGCCUGCAUUGACUACAGAGACUGGCUCUUAUUUUGACUAUUCCUGGGGAUGCUUGGGUGUCCCUUUAAAGUUUUACCUGAGUAUGUUGUCAUGAUGAGGGAUGAGAGGAAGAGGUAGGACUUGCAGCAACUGCCACUCCUCAGAUGGCCUCAGAAAGGGCCUUAAAAAUUGUAGCAGAAGCUGCCAUUAAACCCAUCCCAGACUGCACCCAGGAAGUGCUUUCUCAGUGACACACUGCACCCCGGGGGAGCUUCAGAAUUAAUCCCAUCAUCCCCAACCCUGGAGCCACCUAUGUCUGGUGGGAGUUGGUAGGUCAGUACCUUUGCUGGCUGACUGUGGGACUGGGUUAACUCUGGGGGAGUUCUGGAGGGGAGGGAAGCCCAGGUACCCAGAGUGGAGGCCUGCUCUGCAAGGCCGCCCAUCUGGGCUCUUUCUCUGCCCUGUCUCACAUCACCACGCACCUAUGGAUGUUUUUUCUGGAUCACCUCCACCAAAGCCACCUGCACUCAGAAUCUUGUCUUUGGGUGGGAGACCUAAGGCAGAGCUCUUACAAGAGACCUCAUGCUUCCCUGCUCCUGUACCCUAGCCAUUGGGUGUAAUUUGGGAUUCCUGCCCAUUUCCGGGACCGAACCCCAUCCCCGCCCAUGCAAAAGGCUGGGAUCCCAUCCUUGCCACUCAAUUCAUUGCUGAGCGCAAGCAGAGCACCUACAAGUGGGAGGCACCUGGUAGAUGUUUUUGGGGUGUGGGUCACACAGAGAAGGCCAAGGAUGCAGAGAGAUGGUGGCCAGGUCUCCUGGGGCCAGAAUCUAAAAUAUUUUACCAGGUAACUGGGCCACAGGUGUCAGCAUGGGCUGUUUUGCAGGGCUCCAUGCUGUCCACAGUGAUCCUGCCCAACUGGCUGGGGAACUUGUCUGGCUGGGUGCAAGGCCCCUGGGACCCUGGUCCACUCCUUCAGGGGCAGGUGGCUCUGGCAGGGCCACGGAGGCAUUCUCGGUCCCCGGUGCCUCCCCGGACAGGGCCCACUUUGGAUCUGCCCCAGUGCCAUACCCUGGCUCAGUCAUUAGCUCUUCUAAAAACCUAGAAGGGACUCCAGAAUCUGUUUCUCAUCCCUGAACACUUGCAGUGUUCCACUUCUAGCCAGGCCCAAGCAGGGGACAGGCCGUGGGGCUCUGAUGCCUGAUCGGAUGGCGCUUUGGCCCAGGGGGGAGCUGGGCAUGGAGCCAGUGUUCCCAUCCUCAAAGCCUUAAGUGGCAGGCAGGGAACAAGCAGGCAUCUCUGAGGGCCAAGGGCAGACAGGCAGGUUUAGGGACCAGGUGGGGAAGGUGGCUCAGAGAGAGUGACCUGCGGACACCAGUUCAAGCAGGAGACAGCAAGUGUGAAGGCCCCAGGGCAGGAAAUAGCAGAUAUUUUGAAACUCCAAAGGGGAGGCUGGCGGGGGAGAGAAAUGAGGCAGUAGCGGGAGGCAGGGCUGAACUAUAGGGCCAGGAAGCCGUGGGGGCCAACCAAGUGUCAUUCUGGGUAUGUGGCAAAGCCACCUGUGGAGGUGUCAAGCAGGGGGAAUGGCCAGAACUGAAUUUGUGCUUCCAGUAGACUCCUAUGCACACAGGACCUGGGAGCCGAACCAGAUGAAAGUAGCCUGGUAGCCGGGCUGUACGUACAUCCUUUUUUACCACCCAUCCCUGGCCACAGGAAACGGGGUCUUGGAGGGGAAGGGGAUGGCCCAGGGUCCCCCAGACAGUGUCUGGACAAAUCCGGCUGACGCUACAGUGUGCUUCCCCUCCACACACACACACCUGGAUGUGGUUGCUAGGGCACCCCUCCUGUCCACCAGAAUGUUUGAUCCCUCUGGAAGGAAGAUUGAGGAGGAGGUGGGGUGAAAGGAAAGGAAGGGAGAGGGUAUACCCAGUCUGCCUGGCAGUCCUGUGUUGGUGGGACGGGGCAGGCCCAGCUCCGGGCAAGAGGCCUGAUGGACCUGUGUUCGCAGAGGUUUUUAUCUGUUUAAUGUGCUCAUCUCUCUGGCCAGGAGACAGGACAGUGAACUGAGGACCAGAAUUAGGAGGCAAAUGAAAAAGUGAAGUCGGAUCUCGCCCUCCACUUAUCAGCUCCUCAUGGCCCCAUCUCCACCCAGGAGGCCCAGUGUGACCUGACCUCGAAUCUGACACCUGCUACUCUGACCUCACCUCCUCCUGCUUAACCUCUCUAGCCUUCAGCCUCCUAACUUAGAAGGAGAAGUUCCUUAGUGAUCCUUCCAGCAAGUCUGGGUGAGCAGGGGUAAAGCCCAGCCUGCUGGCUCCUUGCUCUGUCGACCCCAGCUGGUGCUUCCCACUGAAACCCCAUCACCACCAGCCUCCAAGGCUGUGACCGGCACUUCCGAGGGGCCGUGUCCCCCAACGUGAGCCCCAGCUGGUCUGGUUCUCACUCUUUCCUAGGGAGCAGGUUGAGAAAAAAGGGUCCCUUGCGCUAAAAAAUCACUCAUCACCUCAAGCGAGACCCUGUCCCCUCUGGGUGAGGGGAGAUAUUGAGGAAGGAGAUGAGAGUCCUGUCUAGCUUUGAGAGCUGGCAACUUGGGGAGGCAAAGACACAUUCCCAGAAUCCCCUGGAGUCCUGAGAACACCCACACCCCUUGUCCCAGCAAUCCUGAGAAAGGCCAAGCUGAUAAGGCUGUGGGUGGCCCGAUGACAACAUUCUUGGGACUUGGAUGAAGUGGGAGGGGCCCACCCAUUCAGCUGCACAUAAUUUGGGGCAACGGGGACAGGAACCAUUUGGGCCACAGGCAGCCAGCAUGUCUGCCCUUCCGGGCAUUUCAGGGAUGCCACCGAACCCCAGGCCACGGCAGGGAGCCACACAGUCAUCUCGCAAGUUUUUGAGGAAAGAAUGCCAGUCGUGUGGGAGGGGAGACUUGGGUCUGCCUCCCUCCCACCCCCAUCUUGGCUCCCUCUGAGGCUCAUUCCUGAGAAACCCUCUAGUACCUUCUUCCAGGCUGGGGGUGGGGCAGAGCUGGGGAUGAGCAAGACCACUCCCCUCCUCACCACCUCCAGCCCACAGGAGAAUCUGAAAUAGCCUCUCUUCCGGGCCCAGGGCUGCAUUUCAGCCACCACACCUAAAAUUCCACCAUCACCGCACAGUCCUUGAUAGUUAAGGCGUCACCUUGGGUGAAAAAGGUCGAUUUCUCUGCUGGGACAUAGAAGCAGCAUAAAAUCCAAACAGGCAGGGAUCCCUGGGUGGCGCAGCGGUUUGGUGCCUGCCUUUGGCCCAGGGCACGAUCCUGGAGACCCGGGAUCGAAUCCCACGUCAGGCUCCCUGCAUGGAGCCUGCUUCUCCCUCUGCCUGUGUCUCUGCCUCUCUCUCUCUCUCAGUCUGUGACUAUGAUGAAUAAAAAAAAAAAAAAAAAAAA
RNAcentral lists this long non-coding RNA (5055 nucleotides) under Canis lupus familiaris (dog). RNAcentral describes it as "lncRNA (ENSCAFG00845025454.1)". Lineage: Eukaryota; Metazoa; Chordata; Mammalia; Carnivora; Canidae. The record is from RNAcentral.